This 13578-nucleotide long non-coding RNA is filed under the name Lathyrus oleraceus (garden pea). RNAcentral describes it as "Pisum sativum (pea) long non-coding RNA (PSAT_LNC040106)". The record is from RNAcentral. Lineage: Eukaryota; Viridiplantae; Streptophyta; Magnoliopsida; Fabales; Fabaceae.
AUUAUAAGUAGAAAAUGAAAAAGAAAAAAAGAAAAAAGAAUAAUUACAAGAAAAUGAAAAAGAAAAAAAGAAAAUAGAAUAAUUACAAGAAAAUGAAAAUGAGACCGUAUGUUAUAAAGGAAACCAACUCAAUCAUUUUUCCAGUGUUACAUUAGCACCACCUUUAUUAUUGUGAGAUCCUCAUAAUCCUAACAAACAUCUCAAUCUCAUCAAAACAAUACGAAAAACCCUAUCAUAAUCAUUGGUGAUGCAAGAAUAAAAUUGAAAAUAAGAGGAAACACAGAUGAAUAGAGUGACAAAAUAAACAAGUUAGAGAUGUGUAACCUUCAAAAGAUCAACCUAUAUCAGAAAUCACUUGAUCUGUACAUUUGAUAGAUAAGAAAGAAAAUUACUCAUAAAAGAUAGAAAAAAAAGGAAAAUAUGACAAUUUUUCAGCAGUACGUAUUUUUUUACCCUUUGUAUUUUGUUUAUACAAUCAUAAAGUGAAUAUGAACCAGAGAUUUCUAUUAAAUAAUGUAAGCUAAAUAUUUCUAAUAAGUACAUCCUCAAUUAUAUAAAUCAAUCAAACAUGUAAUGAGUAACAAACCUUGACAUUAAUUAGUUUAGAAAGAUAUGUAUUUAACAUCAAAAUUUAUUAAAUAUAUACUUAUAUCCUUAAGUACAUAAAAUGUCAUCUUCUAUAUUCUAAUAAUUAAUUAAUUAACAUAAGUUCUACAGAUUAAAAAAUAUGAUAAAAUACUAAUUAUAAGUAGAAAAUGAAAAAGAAAAAAAUAAAAUAGAAUAAUUACAACAAAUUUAAAAUGAUACCGUAUGGUAUAAAGGAAACCAACUCAAUACGUUUUCCAGUGUUACACUACACCACGUUUAUUAUUGUGAGAUCCUCAUAAUCCUAACAAAAAUCUCAAUCUCAUCAAAACAAUACGAAAAACCCUAUCAUAAUCAUUGGUGAUGCAAGAAUAAAAUUGAAAAUUAGAGGAAACACAAAUGAAUAGAGUGACAAAAUAAACAAGUUAGAGAUGUAUAACCUUCAAAAGAUUAACCUAUAUCAGAAAUCACUUGAUCCGUACAUUUGGUAGAUAAGAAAGAAAAUUACUCAUAAAAGAUAGAAAAAAAAGGAAAAUAUGACAAUUUUUCAGCAGUCCGUAUUUUUUUACCCUUUGUAUUUUGUUUAUACAAUCAUAAACUGAUUAUGAACCAUAGAUUUCUAUUAAGUAAUGUAAGCUAAAUAUUUAUAUUAAGUACAUCCUCAAUUCUAUAAAUUAAUCAAACAUGUAAUGAGUAACAAACAUUGACAUUAAAUAAAUUAGAAAGAUAUGUAUUGAACAUCAAAAUUAAUUAAAUAUAUACUUAUAUCCUUAAGAACAUAAAAUGUCAUCUUCUAUAUUCUGAUAAUUAAACAAUUAACAUAAGUUAUACAGAUUAAAAAAUAUGCUAAAAUACUAAUUAUAAGUAGAAAAUGAAAAAGAAAAAAAGAAAAAAGAAUAAUUACAAGAAAAUGAAAAAGAAAAAAAGAAAAUAGAAUAAUUACAAGAAAAUGAAAAUGAGACCGUAUGUUAUAAAGGAAACCAACUCAAUCAUUUUUCCAGUGUUACAUUAGCACCACCUUUAUUAUUGUGAGAUCCUCAUAAUCCUAACAAACAUCUCAAUCUCAUCAAAACAAUACGAAAAACCCUAUCAUAAUCAUUGGUGAUGCAAGAAUAAAAUUUAAAAUAAGAGGAAACACAGAUGAAUAGAGUGACAAAAUAAACAAGUUAGAGAUGUGUAACCUUCAAAAGAUUAACCUAUAUCAGAAAUCAAUUGUUCCGUACAUUUGAUAGAUAAGAAAGAAAAUUACUCAUAAAAGAUAGAAAAAAAAGGAAAAUAUGACAAUUUUUCAGCAGUACGUAUUUUUUUACCCUUUUUAUUUUGUUUAUACAAUCAUAAACUGAUUAUGAACCAUAGAUUUCUAUUAAGUAAUGUAAGCUAAAUAUUUAUAUUAAGUACAUCGUCAAUUCUAUAAAUCAAUCAAACAUGUAAUGAGUAACAAACAUUAACAUUUAAUAAAUUAGAAAGAUAUGUAUUGAACAUCAAAAUUAAUUAAAUAUAUACUUAUAUCCUUAAGAACAUAAAAUGUCAUCUUCUAUAUUCUGAUAAUUAAAAAAUUAACAUAAGUUACACAGAUUAAAAAAUAUGCUAAAAUACUAAUUAUAAGUAGAAAAUGAAAAAGAAAAAAGAGAAAAGAAUAAUUACAAGAAAAUGAAAAAGAAAAAAGGAAAAUAGAACAAUUAGAAGAAAAUGAAAAUGAGACUGUAUGUAUUAAAGGAAACCAACUCAAUCAUUUUUCCAGUGUUACAUUAGCACCACCUGUAUUAUUGUGAGAUCCUCAUAAUCCUAACAAACAUCUCAAUCUCAUCAAAACAAUACGAAAAACCCUAUCAUAANUUGUAACCUCAAGAGGUCAACCUAUAUCCAAGACAUCCACCGGAUUAUCUUACCAUUUGGCUGGGUAUAAGAAUUGAAAACUUACCUCAUAAAAUAGGAAAGAAAAGAAAAAUAUGUAAUUUUUCAGUCUUAGUCGAAUUGUUUUUACCCUUUUAUUUGUAUUUUUAUACCCAAUCAUAAAUGAAUACGCUGAACCAAGAGAUUUCUAUUAAAUAAUGUUAUACCCUUAAAAAAUUUCAUUAAGUAACAUCCCCAAUUUAUCCAAAUCAAUAAAAUACAAAACAUGUAUGAGUAAAACAUUGAGAUUAAAUAGGUUUAGAAGAAGAUAUGUAUUGAACAUUAAAAAUUAAUUUAAAAUAACUAUACUUAUAUCCCUUAAAGCAAUCAUAAAAUGAAAAUCUUCCUAUAUCUGAUAAUUUAAACAAUUAACAUAAUAUAACGAUUAAAAAUAUGCUAAAAUAUAAUAUAAGCUUAGGCGGCGAGUAGAAAUGAAAAAGAAAAAAGCGCAAUAAUUUACUAAAGAAAAUGAAAAAGAAAAAAGAAAUAGAGUAAUUACAAGAAAAUGAAAUAUUGUAAGACCUGAUAUUAGAAACAACUCUCCAAUCCAUUUUUAGUGUUACUUAAGCCACCACCCGUAUUAUUGUGAGAUCUCAUAAUCCUAAACAAACAUCUCAAUCUCAUCAAAACAAUAUGAAAAACCUAUUUUAAUCAAUUGUGGUGUGCUGACGCACCCGCAUAAAGAGGAUAAACUUGAAAAAGAGAAACACAGAUGAAUAAGUCGGACAAAUAAAAUAGUAGAGAUGUUGUAACCUCAAAAGAUCAAUCCUUAUCAAGGAAAGAAAUCAGUUUAUCCUUUAACAUUUGAUAGAUUAAGAAUGAAAUUAGCAUAAAACGAUAGAAAAAACAAGAAAUUAUUACAAUGUUUCCAGCAAUACGUAUUUUUUUACCCUUUGAUGAUUUUACAAUCAUGAACUGAAUAUGAAACAGAGAUUUCUAUUAAAUAAUGUAGAGGGUGGCAAUAUUUCUGGGAAUAAGUACAUCCUCUCCUGGCGAGUGAUAAACAUGAUCAAACAUGUGAUUGUAGUUGGGCAUGGAGUAACGAAUAACCUACACAUAAUUAGUUGAGGAAAGAUAGUAUGUGGGUAACAUCAAAUAUAUUAAAUACAAUCAUACUAUGUGAAUCCUUAAUACAUAAAAUGUGACUUCGAUAGUCUCUAAUAAUAUUAAUAAACAUAAGUCUACAGAUUAAAAAUAUGAAAAAACUAAUUAUAAGUAGAAAAUGAAAAAAGAAAAAAUAAAAAUCAGAAUAAUUACAACCAAUUUAAAAUGACUACCGUUAUGCGUAUAAAGGAAACCAACUCAAUACGUUUUAUCAAACAGUGUGUUACACUACCCACGUUUUUUUGUGAGAUCCUUCAUAAUCCUUAACAAAAAUUUCUCACAUCUCCAUCAAAAAAACAAUAGAAAAAACCCUAUCAUAAUCAUUGUGAUGCAAAGAAAUAAAAUUUGAAAUUAGAGGAAACACAAAUGAUAGAGUGACAAAAUAAACAGUUAGAGAUGAUAUAACCUUCAAGAUUAACCAUUAUCAGAAUCACCUUGGGGGGGGGGGAUCCGUACAUUUGGUAGAUAGAAAAAAAUUACUCAUAAUAAGAUAGAAAAAAAGGAAAAUAUUGACAAUUUUUCAGCAUUCCGUAUUUUUUUACCCUUUGUAUUUGUUUUAUAAAUCUAAACUGCUUAAACCAUAGUAUUUCUAUAAGUAAUGUAAGCUAAAUAUUUUUAUUAUUAAGUACAUCCUCAAUUCUAUAAAUUAAUCAAACAUGUAAUGAGUAACAAAACAUUGACAUUAAAUAAAUUAAGAAAGUUUGAACAUCAAAAUUAAUUAAAUAUUACUUAUAUCCUUAAGACAUAAAAUUGUCAUCAUCUAUAUUCUGAUAUUAAAAAUUGAACAUAAGUUACACAGAUUAAAAAAAAUAUUGCUAAAAUCACUAAUUUAAGUAGAAAAUAAAAGAAAAGAAAAGAAUAAUUACAAGAAAAUGAAAAAGAAAAAGGAAAAUAGAACAAUUAGAAGAAAAUGAAAAUGCGACUUUAUGUUAUAAAGGAAACAAAAUCAAUCAUUUCAAGUGUACAUUAGACCACUUGUAUUUAUUGUGAGAUCUCAUAAUCCGAACAAACAUCGCAAUCUCAUCAAAUAAUAACGAAAAAACCCUAUCUAAUCAUUGGUGACGCCAAGAAUAAAAUGGAAAAUAAAGAGGAAACACAGAUGAAAUGGGUGACAAAAUAAAAAGGUAGAAUUGUGUAACCUUCAAAAAGGAUCAACCUAUAUCAGAAAUCACUGAUCUGUAAUUUGAUACCAUAAGAAUGAAAAAUUACUCAUAAAAGAUAGCAAAGAAAAAGAAAUAUUGACAAUUUCCAGCAGUACGUAUUCUUUUUUUUUUGUACCCUUUGUAUUUUGUUUAUACAAUCAUUAAGUGAAUCUGAACAGAGACUUCUCUAUUAAUAAUGUUAAGCAAAUAUUUUAAGUUAAGUACAUCCCCAUUCUAUACAAAAUUUCAAACAUGUAAUGAGUAAAAACAUUGAGAUUAUAUAGUUUAGAAAAGAUAUGUAUUGAACAUUCAAAAUUAAUUCGAAUUAUAUAUAUCCUUAAGAACAUAAAAUGUCCCAUCUUCUUAUAUUCUGAUAAUCAAAAACAAUUAACAUAAGUUAUACUGAUUAAAAAAUAUGCUAAAAUACUAAUUUAUAAGUAGAAAAUGAAGAAGAAAAAAAAAAGCAUAAUUACAAGAAACUGAAAAAGAAAAAAAAGAAAAUAUAAUAAUUACGAAGAAAAUGAAAAUUGAGUACUGUAUGGAUUAGGAAACCAACUCAAUCAUUUUUCCAGUGUUACAUUAGCACCACCUGUAUUAUUGUGAGAUCCUCAUAAUCCUAACAAAACAUUCUCAAUCUCAUUCAAAAAGCAAUACGAAAAAACCUUUCAUAAUCAUGGUGAGCAAUAAGUAAUUGAAAUAGAGGAAACACAGAUGAUGAAUAGGGUGACAAAUAAAAAAGGUAGAGAUGUUGUAACCUUCAAAAGAUCAAACCUAUAUCAGGAAAUCAAUUACAUUUGAUAGAUAAGAAUGAACAGAUUACUCAUAAGAUUAGAAAAAAUAAAGGAAUUAUUACAAUUUCUCUGCAGUACGUUAUUUUUUUUACCCUGUAUAUUGUUUAUACAAUCAUAAAGUGAUAUGAACCAGAGAUUUCUAUUAAAAUAAUGUAAGCUAAAUAUUUCUAUAAGUUUACAUCCUCACAUUAUAUAUAUCAAUCAACAUGGUGAAUGAGUAAACAAACCUUGACAUUAAUUAGUUUAGAAAGAUAUGUAUUUAACAUCAAAAUUAAUUUAAAUAUAUACUUAUAUCCUAAGAAACAAAAAAUGUCCAUCUUCUAUAUUCUGAUAAUGAAUUAAUUAACAUAAGUUCUACAGAUUAAAAAAUAUGAUAAAAUACUAAUUAAAGUAGGAAAAUGAAAAGAAAAAUAAAUAGAUUUAAUUACAAGAAAAUGAAAGAAAAAAGAAAAUAAAUAAACAACAAAUUUUAAAAUGAGACCGUAUUGUUUAAAGGGAAACCAACUCAAUAAGUUUUCCAGUGUUACACUAGCACCCUUAUUAUUGUGAAGAUCCUGCAUAACGCUAACAAGAAAAUCUCAAUCUCAUCAAAACAAUAGAAAAACCCUAGUCAUAAUCAUUGGUCGAUGCAAAGAAUAAAAUUGAAAAUAACAGGAAACACAAUAAUAGCAAGUGACAAAAUAAAACCAAGUUAGAGAUGUAUAACCUUCAAAAAUUAAACCUAUACCAGAAAUCACUUGAUCCUUACAUUUGGGUAGAUAAGAAAGAAAUUACUCAUAAAAGAUAAAAAAAAAAAGGAAAAUUAUGACAAUUUUUCAGGCAGUACGUAUUUGUUUACCCUUUUUUAUUUUGUUAUACAAUCUAAACUGAUUAAUGAACCAUAGAUUUCUAUUAAGUAAUGUAAGCCUAAUAUUUAUAUUAAGUACAAUUCCUCAUAUUCAAUAAUUAAAUUCAAACAAUGUAAUGAGUAACAAACAUUGACAUUGAAAUAAAUUAGAAAGAUAUGGUAUUGAACACAAAAUAAAUUAAAUAUAUACUUAUACUCUUAAGAACAUUAAAAUGUCAUCUUCUUAUAUUCUGAUAAUUAAACAAUACUAACAUAGUUACACAGAUUAAAAUAUGCUAAAAUAACGAAUUAUAAGUAGGAAAUGAAAAAGAAAAAAAAAAAAAGAAUAAUUACAAGAAAAUGAAAAAGAAAAAAGGAAAAUAGAAACAAUUAGAAGAAAAUGAAAAAUGAGGCUUUAUGUAUUAAGGAAAAACCCAACUCAAUCAUUUUUCAAGUGUACAUAGCACCACUUGUAUUAUUGUGAAUCACUCAAUCCUAACAAAACAUCUCAAUCUCAUCAAAAUAAUUACGAAAAAAAACCCGAUCAUAAUUCAUUGGUGACGACAAGAAAUUAAAAUUGAAAAUAAGAGGAACACAGUGAAUAGGGUGGACAAAAUAAAAAGGGUAUUAGAUGUGUAAACCUUCAAAAGAUCAACCGAUGAUCAGAAAUUCACUUUUGAUCGUACCUUUGAUACAAAAAGAAUGAAGAUUAUCAUAAAAGAUAGAAAGAAAAAGAAAAUAUAGACAAUUUUUCAGUAUACGUAUUUUUUUUCCCUUUGUUUUUGUUAUAUUACAAUCUAAAGUGAAUCCUGAACACAGAGAUUUCUAUUAAAUAAUGUAAGCUAAAUAUUUUAUUAAAAGUUACAUCCCCAUUUCUAUAAUAACAAACAUGUAAUGAGUAAAAAACAUUGAGAUUAAAUAGUGAAAGAUAUGUAUGUGAACUCAAAAAGUUAAUUCAAUAUCAUACUUACUAUUCCUUAAGAACAUAAAAUGUCAUCUUCUAUAUUCUGAUAAUUAAAACAAUUAACAUAAGUUAUACUGAUAAAAAAAUAUGCUAAAAAUACUAAUUAUAAGUAGAAAUGAAACAGAAAAAAAAGAAUAAUUACAGGAAAUGAAAAAGAAAAAAAGAAAUAGAAUAAUUACAGAAAACUGAAAAUGAGAUGUGAUGUAUUAAAGAGAAACUCAAUCAAUUUUUCCAGUGUUACAUUGCACCACCUUGUAUUAUUGUGAGAUCCUCAUUUCCUAACAAACAUCUCAAUCUUCAUCAAAACAAUCGAAAACCUUAUCAUAAUCUUGUGACGCAGAAUAAAAUUGGAAAAUAAGGAGGAAAACACAGAUGAAUAGGGUGACAAAAUAAAAAAAGGUAGAGAUGUGUAACCUUCAAAAGAUCAACCUAUAUCAGAAUCAUUUGAUCUGACAUUUGAAGAUAAGAAUGAAUUACUCAUAAAAGAUAGGAAAAAAAUAAGGAUUAUUACAAUUUUGCCGGCAGUACGGAUUUUUUACCCCUUUGUAUAUUGUUUAUACCCAAUCAUAAGUAAAUAUGAAACCAGAGAUUUCCUAUUAUUCAAUUAGUUUACUUCAUCAUAAUAUAAUAAUAUAUUAUCUUUUCCUCAUAAUUUCUUUACUCACAAUCGAUUAUAAAUAAUGUAAGUCUAAAUAUUUCUAACAAGUACAUCCUCAAUUAUAUAUAUCAAUCAAACAUGUAAAUGUAGUAACAAUCCUUGACAUAAAAUUAGUUUAGAAAGAUAUGUAUUUAACAUUCAAAAUUAAUUAAACAUAUAGACUUAUAUCCUAGAACAGUAAAAUGUCAUCUUCUAUUUUCUAUUUUAAUUAAUAAUUAACAUAAGUUCUACAGAUUAAAAAAUUAUGUAAAAUACUAAUUAUAAGUAGAAAAUGAAAAGAAAAAAAUAAAAUAGAUUAAUUACCAGAAAUGAAAAAGAAAAAAAGAAAAUAGAAUAUAAACAACAAAUUUAAAUGAGACCGUCAUGUAUUUAUAAAGAAACCAACUCAAUAAAGGUUCCCAGUUGUUACACUAGCACGCACGUUUUUAUUGUGAGAUCCUCAUAACGCUAACAAACAUCUCAAUCUCAUCAAAAAUACGAAAAACUCCCUAUCAGUAAAUCAUUGGUGAUGCAAGAAUAUUUGAAAAUACAGGAAAACACAAAUGGAAUAGAGUGACAAAAGUAAACAAAGUUAAGGAGAUGUAUAAACCUUCAAAAGAUUUAAACCUAUACCAGAAAUCACUUGAUCCGUACAUUUGGUAGAUAAGAAAGGAAAAAUUACUCAUAAAGAUAGAAAAAAAAAAGGAAAAAUAUUUGACCAAUUUUUUUCAGCAGUACGUAUAUUUUUACCCUUUUUAUUUGUUUAUACAAUCAUAAACAUGAUUAUGAACCAUAGAUUUCUAUUAAGUAAUGUAAGCCAAUAUUUAUAUUAAGGUACAUCGUCAAUUCUAUAAAUUCAAUCGAAACAUUAAUUGAGUAACAACAUUUAACAUUUAAUAAAAUUAGAAGAUAUCUAUUGACAUCAAAAUUAAUUAAAUAUAUUUCUUAUAUCUUAAGAACAUAAAAUGUCAUCUUCUAUAUUCUGAUAUUAAAAAUUAACAUAAGUUACACAGAUUAAAAAAUAUGCUAAAAUACUAAUUAUAAGUAGAAAAUGAAAAAGAAAAAAAGAGAAAAGAAUAAUUACAAGAAAAAUUGAAAAAGAAAAAAGGAAAUGAACAGGAUUAGAAGAAAAUGAAAAUGAGACUGGUAUGUAUUAAAGGAAAACGAUCAAUCAUUUUUCCAUGUUACAUAGCACCACCUUGUAUUAUUGUAGAUCCUCAUAAUCCUAACAAAAUCUCCAAUCUCAUCAAAACAUACCAAAAACCCUAUCAUAAUCAUUGGCUGACGCAAGAUAAAAUUGAAAAUAAGAGAAACACAGAUGAAUAGGGUAGUUUAGAAAGAUAUGUAUUGAACAUCAAAAUUAAUUAAAUAUAUACUUAUAUCCUUAAGAACAUAAAAUGUCAUCUUCUAUAUUCUGAUAAUUAAACAAUUAACAUAAGUUAUACUGAUUAAAAAAAUGCUAAAAUACUAAUUAUAAGUAGAUAAUGAAAAAGAAAAAAAGAAAAUAGAAUAAUAACAACAAAUUUAAAAUAAGACCGUAUGGUAUAAAGGAAACCAACUCAAUCCGUUUUCCAGUGUUACACUAGCACCACGUUUAUUAUUGUGAGAUCCUCAUAAUCCUAACAAAAAUCUUAAUCUCAUCAAAACAAUACGAAAAACCCUAUCAUAAUCAUUGGUGAUGCAAGAAUAAAAUUGAAAAUAACAGGAAACACAAAUGAAUAGAGUUAAAAAAUAAACAAGUUAGAGAUGUCUAACCUUCAAAAGAUUAACCUAUAUCAGACAUCACUUGGUCCAUACAUUUGAUAGAUAAGAAAGAAAAUUACUCAUAAAAGAUAGAAAAAAAAGGAAAAUAUGACAAUUUUUCAGCAGUACGUAUUUUUUUAACCUUUGUAUUUUGUUUAUACAAUCAUAAACUGAUUAUGAACCAGAGAUUUCUAUUAUGUAAUGUAAGCUAAAUAUUUGGAUUAAGUACAUCCUCAAUUAUAUAAAUCAAUCAAACAUGUAAUGAGUAACAAACAUUGACAUUAAGUAGUAUAGAAAGGUAUGUAUUGAACAUCAAAAUCAAUUAAAUAUAUACUUAUAUCCUUAAGAACAUAAAAUGUCAUCUUCUAUAUUCUGAUAAUUAAACAAUUAACAUAAGUUAUAAAAUUAAAAAUAUGCUAAAAUACUAAUUAUAAGUAGAAAAUGAAAAAGAAAAAAGAAAAAAGAAUAAUUACAAGAAAAUGAAAAAGAAAAAAAGAAAAAAGAAUAAUUACAAGAAAAUGAAAAUGAGACUGGAUUUAUUAAAGGAAACCAACUCAAUCAUUUUUCUAGUGUUAUAUUAGCACCACCUGUAUUAUUGUGAGAUCCUCAUAAUCCUAACAAACAUCUCAAUCUCAUCAAAACAAUACGAAAAGCCCUAUCAUAAUCAUUGGUGACGCAAGAAUAAAAUUGAAAAUAAGAGGAAACACAAAUGAAUAGGGUGACAAAAUAAAAAAGGUAGAGAUGUGUAACCUUCAAAAGAUCAACCUAUAUCAGAAUUCACUUGAUCUGUAUAUUUGAUAGAUAAGAAUGAAAAUUACUCAUAAAUGAUAGAAAAAAAAAUAAAAUAUGACAAUUUUUCAGCAAUACGUAUUUUUUUACCCUUUGUAUUUUGUUUAUACAAUCAUCAAGUGAAUAUGAACCAGAGAUUUCUAUUAAAUAAUGUAAGCUAAAUUUUCUUCAUUAAGUACAUCCCCAAUUAUAUAAAUCAAUCAAACAUGUAAUGAGUAAAAAACAUUGACAUUAAAUAGUUUAGAAAGAUAUGUAUUGAUCAUCAAAAUUAAUUAAAUAUAUACUUAUAUCCUUAAGAACAUAAAAUGUAAUCUUCUCUAUUCUGAUAAUAAUUAUAAGUAGAAAAUGGAAAAGAAAAAAGAAAAAAGUAUAAUUACAAGAAAAUGAAAAAGAUAAAAAGAAAAAAUAGAAUAAUUACAAGAAAAUGAAAAUGAGACUGUAUGUAUUAAAAAAAACCAACUCAAUCAUUUUUCCAGUGUUACAAUAGCACCACCUGUAUUAUUGUAAGAUCCUCAUAAUCCUAACAAACAUCUCAAUCUCAUCAAAACAAUACGAAAAACCCUAUCAUAAUCAUUGGUGACGCAAGAAUAAAAUUGGAAAUAAGAGGAAACACAGAUGAAUAGGGUGACAAAAUAAAAAGGGUAGAGAUGUGUAAUUGGAAAUAAGAGGAAACACAGAUGAAUAGGGUGACAAAAUAAAAAGGGUAGAGAUGUGUAACCUUCAAAAGAUCAACCUAUAUCAGAAAUCACUUGAUCCAAACAUUUGAUAGAUGAGAAUGAAAGCUACUCAUAAAAGAUAGAAAAAAAAAAGAAAAUAUGACAAUUAUCCAGCAGUACAUAUUUUUUUUGUUUAUACAAUCAUAAAGUGAAUAUGAACCAAAGAUUUCCAUUAAAUAAUGUAAGCUAAAUAUUUUCAUUAAGUACAUCCCCAAUUAUAUAAAUCAGUCAAACAUGUAAUGAGUAAAAACAUUGACAUUAAAUAGUUUAGAAAGAUAUGUAUUGAACAUCAAAAUUAAUUAAAUAUAUACUUGUAUCCUUAAGAACAUAAAAUGUCAUCUUUUAUAUUCUGAUAAUUAAACAAUUACCAUAAGUUAUACUGAUUAAAAAUAAUGCUAACAUACUAAUUAUAAGUAGAAAAUGAAAAAGAAAAAAAGAAAAUAGAAUAAUAACAACAAAUUUAAAAUGUAAUGAGUAACAAACAUUGACCUUAAUUAGUUUAGGAAGAUAUGUAUUGAACAUCAAAAUUAAUUAAAUAUAUACUUAUAUCCUUAAGAACAUAAAAUGUCAUCUUCUAUAUUCUGAUAAUUAAACAAUUAACAUAAGUUAUAAUGAUUAAAAAAUAAGCUAAAAUACCAAUUAUAAGUAGAAAAUGAAAAAGAAAAAAAGAAAAUAGAAUAAUUACAAGAAAAUGAAAAAGAAAAAAAAACAAAAUAGAAUAACUACAAGAAAUUUAAAAUGAGACCGUAUGGUAUAAAGGAAACCAACUCAAUCAGUUUUCCAGUGUUACACUAGCACCACGUUUAUUAUUGUGAGAUCCUCAUAAUCCUAACAAAAAUCUCAAUCUCAUCAAAACAAUACGAAAAACCCUAUCAUAAUCAUUGGUGAUGCAAGAAUAAAAUUGAAAAUAAUAGGAAACACAAAUGAAUAGAGUGACAAAAUAAACAAGUUAGAGAUAUGUAACCUUCAAAAUAUUAACCUAUAUCAGAAAUCACUUGAUCCGUACAUUUCAUAGAUAAGAAAGAAAAUUACUCAUAAAAGAUAGAAAAAAAAGGAAAAUAUGACAAUUUUACAGCAGUACGUAUUUUUUUACCCUUUGUAUUUUGUUUAUACAAUCAUAAAGUGAUUAUGAACUAGAGAUUUUUAUUAAUUAAUGUAAGCUAAAUAUUUCUAUUAAGUACAUCCUCAAUGAUAUAAAUCAAUAAAACAUGUAAUGAGUAACAAACAUUAGCAUUAAAUAGUUUAGAAAGAUAUGUAUUGAACAUAAAAAUUAAAUAAAUAUAUACUUAUAUCCUUAAGAACAUAAAAUGUCAUCUUCUAUAUUCUGAUAAUGAAACAAUUAACAUAAGUUAUACAGAUUAAAAAAUAUGCUAAAAUACUAAUUAUAAGUAGAAAAUGAAAAAGAAAAAAAGAAAAUAGAAUAAUUACAAGAAAAUGAAGAAGAAAAAAAGAAAAUAGAAUAAUUACAAGAAAAUGAAGAAGAAAAAAAGAAAAUAGAAAAAUUACAAGAAAAUGAAAAUGAGACAGUAUGUAUUAAAGGAAACCAACUCAAUCAUUUUUCCAAUGUUACAUUAGCACCAUCUGUAUUAUUAUGAGAUCCUCACAAUCCUAGCGAACAUCUCAAUCUCAUCAAAACAAUACGAAAAACCCUAUCAUAAUCAUUGGUGACGCAAGAAUAAAAUUGAAAAUAAGAGGAAACACAUAUGAAUAGGGUGACAAAAUAAAAAAGGUAGAGAUGUGUAACGUUCAAAAGAUCAACCUAUAUCAGAAAUCACUUGUUCUGUACAUUUGAUAGAUCAGAAUGAAAAUUACUCAUAAAAGAUAGAAAAAGAAAAGAAAAUAUGACAAUUUUACAGCAGUACGUAUUUUUUUACCCUUUGUAUUUUGUUUAUACAAUCAUAAAGUGAAUACGAACCAGAGAUUUCUAUUAAAUAAUGUAAGCUAAAUAUUUUCAUUAAGUACAUCCCCAAUUAUAUAAAUCAAUAAAACAUGUAAUGAGUAAAAAACAUUGGCAUUAAAUAGUUUAGAAAGAUAUGUAUUGAACAUCAAAAUUAAUUAAAUAUAUAGUUAUAUCCUUAAGAACAUAAAAUGUCAUCUUCUAUAUUCUGAUAAUUAAAAAAUUAACAUCAGUUAUACAGAUUAAAAAAUAUGCUAAAAUACUAAUUAUAAGUAGAAAAUGAAAAAGAAAAAAAGAAAAAAGAAUAAUUACAAGAAAAUGAAAAUCUAAAAAAGGAAAUAGUAUAAUUACAAGAAAAUGAAAAUGAGACCGUAUGGUAUAAAGGAAACCAACUCAAUCAGUUUUCCAGUGUUACGCUAGCACCACCUUUAUUAUUUUGAGAUCCUCAUAAUCCUAACAAAUAUCUCAAUCUCAUCAAAACAAUACAAAAA